Molecule: ribosomal RNA, 241 nt
Filed under: uncultured bacterium
Lineage: Bacteria
Description: partial 16S ribosomal RNA
Rfam family: Bacterial small subunit ribosomal RNA
Source: RNAcentral
CGACGUGAGCAAUCUGCCUUUGGAUGGGGGAUAACAGCCGGAAACGACUGCUAAUACCGCAUAAUGCAGCGGGAUCGCAUGGUUUUGCUGCCAAAGAUUUAUCGUCCAAAGAUGAGCUCGCGUCUGAUUAGCCAGUUGGCGGGGUAACGGCCCACCAAAGCGACGAUCAGUAGCCGGACUGAGAGGUUGAACGGCCACAUUGGGACUGAGACACGGCCCAGACUCCUACGGGAGGCAGCAG